CCCGCCACUGUACCUGACCACUUCUCUGAUGGCUGGUGGAAUGCAGUGGUGGGCUGAAACUAAGGCCCAGUUUAAAAAACACAUUGUUAUUCUUCAUAUGGAUGACUCUGUGCUGAACGCAUGGGCACAACC
This 132-nucleotide small nucleolar RNA is filed under the name Myotis brandtii (Brandt's bat). Its description in RNAcentral is "Small nucleolar RNA SNORA65". It matches the Rfam family "Small nucleolar RNA SNORA65". From Rfam's summary of the family: U65 belongs to the H/ACA class of snoRNAs which are thought to guide the sites of modification of uridines to pseudouridines. Lineage: Eukaryota; Metazoa; Chordata; Mammalia; Chiroptera; Vespertilionidae. The record is from Rfam by way of RNAcentral.